UUCUCUGAUGUUAGCGGCGGACGGGUGAGUAACACGUGGGUAACCUACCUAUAAGACUGGGAUAACUCCGGGAAACCGGGGCUAAUACCUGAUAAUAUUUUGAACCGCAUGGUUCGAUAGUGAAAGGCGGCUUCGGCUGUCACUUAUAGAUGGACCCGCGCCGUAUUAGCUAGUUGGUAAGGUAAUGGCUUACCAAGGCGACGAUACGUAGCCGACCUGAGAGGGUGAUCGGCCACACUGGAACUGAGACACGGUCCAGACUCCUACGGGAGGCAGCAGUAGGGAAUCUUCCGCAAUGGGCGAAAGCCUGACGGAGCAACGCCGCGUGAGUGAUGAAGGUUUUCGGAUCGUAAAACUCUGUUGUUAGGGAAGAACAAAUUUGUUAGUAACUGAACAAGUCUUGACGGUACCUAACCAGAAAGCCACGGCUAACUACGUGCCAGCAGCCGCGGUAAUACGUAGGUGGCAAGCGUUAUCCGGAAUUAUUGGGCGUAAAGCGCGCGUAGGCGGUUUCUUAAGUCUGAUGUGAAAGCCCACGGCUCAACCGUGGAGGGUCAUUGGAAACUGGGGAACUUGAGUGCAGAAGAGGAGAGUGGAAUUCCAUGUGUAGCGGUGAAAUGCGCAGAGAUAUGGAGGAACACCAGUGGCGAA
This 651-nucleotide ribosomal RNA is filed under the name Staphylococcus sp. RNAcentral's name for it is "bacterial SSU rRNA". It matches the Rfam family "Bacterial small subunit ribosomal RNA", at positions 82 to 719 of the family's 1533-position model. The record is from RNAcentral. Lineage: Bacteria; Bacillati; Bacillota; Bacilli; Caryophanales; Staphylococcaceae.